This 71-nucleotide transfer RNA is filed under the name Loxodonta africana (African savanna elephant). It matches the Rfam family "tRNA". From Rfam's summary of the family: Transfer RNA (tRNA) molecules are approximately 80 nucleotides in length. Their secondary structure includes four short double-helical elements and three loops (D, anti-codon, and T loops). The record is from Rfam by way of RNAcentral. Lineage: Eukaryota; Metazoa; Chordata; Mammalia; Proboscidea; Elephantidae.
GUCUUAGUGGUUCAGUGGAAGAAUCCUUGCCUUCCAUGCUGGAGACCUGGGCUCAGUUCCCAGCCAACGCA